UACGAAGGGGGCUAGCGUUGCUCGGAAUCACUGGGCGUAAAGCGCACGUAGGCGGAUUGCUAAGUCAGGGGUGAAAUCCUGGAGCUCAACUCCAGAACUGCCCUUGAUACUGGCGGUCUCGAGUCCGGGAGAGGUGAGUGGAACUGCGGGUGUAGAGGUGAAAUUCGUAGAUAUUCGCAAGAACACCAGUGGCGAAGGCGGCUCACUGGCCCGGUACUGACGCUGAGGUGCGAAAGCGUGGGGAGCAAACAGG
Molecule: ribosomal RNA, 253 nt
Filed under: uncultured bacterium
Lineage: Bacteria
Description: partial 16S ribosomal RNA
Rfam family: Bacterial small subunit ribosomal RNA
Source: RNAcentral